RNAcentral lists this ribosomal RNA (274 nucleotides) under uncultured bacterium. RNAcentral's name for it is "partial 16S ribosomal RNA". It matches the Rfam family "Bacterial small subunit ribosomal RNA", at positions 523 to 796 of the family's 1533-position model. The record is from RNAcentral.
AGACGGAGGGCGCAAGCGUUGUUCGGAAUUACUGGGCGUAAAGGGAGCGCAGGCGGUUUGGUCAGUCUAAAGUGAAAGCCCGGGGCUCAACUCCGGAAGUGCUUUGGAUACUACCAGACUUGAGUACGAGAGAGGUGAGUGGAAUUCCAGGUGUAGCGGUGAAAUGCGUAGAUAUCUGGAGGAACAUCGGUGGCGAAAGCGACUCACUGGCACUGUACUGACGCUGAGGCUCGAAAGCGUGGGGAGCGAACGGUAUUAGAAACCCCAGUAGUCC